This is a long non-coding RNA of Neltuma alba, 618 nucleotides long. RefSeq lists it as uncharacterized. The transcript has 2 exons. Lineage: Eukaryota; Viridiplantae; Streptophyta; Magnoliopsida; Fabales; Fabaceae. The record is from RefSeq and is a predicted model, not a curated record.
ACUUGAAGGCAAGCCUCUAUAUUGAGUAUAUCUAUACCUGAUACUGAUAAAUCUUAUUAUUACCAAACAUGGCUGCCUCUCUUUUCAAGUUCACUGUCUUCCUCUGCAUUGCCCUCGUCCUUUUCUCUCCCAACGAGAAUGUUGCAGAAGCGAAAGUUUGUCCGAAACUAAGCAAAACAUAUUAUGGGGUUUGUAGCCACGAUUUUCACUGUCAUGCUAAAUGCUUAAAAGAGGGAGCCUAUCAGGGAAGUUGCAAAUAUCCUUAUCAUGGUGCUCACAAGCGUGCUUGCUUUUGUUACUACAAGUGCUGAGGCAAAGCUAUAAUAACAUGCCUGCUUGCUUCCUUAUCAUGCUCAUCUCAAGCAGUUCCUGUCUGUGCUUUAUAUGUAAUGGAUAUAUAACAUAAAUAAAUAUAGUGCUUUCAGUUAAAGCACAACGACGAAGGUGCUUGGUUUUACGUUAGAAACCACAAAAAUCAUGAUUUUGGUGCUUUUUAACAUGAAGCCAAACACACUUAUAUGUUAUUUCUCAUGGUUAUGUUUGGCGGCUGUUAGGCUGCUUAUGUCUUUGUGUGGUGUGUUGUCGAUUACUUUUAUGUUCUUUCUCAUGAUUUGCUUU